UACGUAGGGGGCGAGCGUUGUCCGGAUUUAUUGGGCGUAAAGGGCUCGUAGGCGGCCAACUAUGUCAGACGUGAAAUCCCUCGGCUUAACCGGGGAACUGCGUCUGAUACUGGAUGGCUUGAGUUCGGGAGAGGGAUGCGGAAUUCCAGGUGUAGCGGUGAAAUGCGUAGAUAUCUGGAGGAACACCGGGUGGCGAAGGCGGCAUCCUGGACCGACACUGACGCUGAGGAGC
RNAcentral lists this ribosomal RNA (232 nucleotides) under uncultured bacterium. Its description in RNAcentral is "partial 16S ribosomal RNA". It matches the Rfam family "Bacterial small subunit ribosomal RNA", at positions 524 to 754 of the family's 1533-position model. The record is from RNAcentral.